GCCUACCCUGGGUGCACUUCGCUCCCGCCCCUGUAACGGAACUCGCCAAUCCGGAGCCGGGAAGGCUACUAUGGUGGCCAAUCAGAAGCAGGAACGCCGUUGCGCUGGGCUAGAAGCUGGCAGGAGGUGGAGGAAAAAAACCGAGGAGCGAACGGGCCUCGGGCUGCCCAAUGAGGAGAGCCGGGGGGCGGAGGUGUGCAAGUUGGGUUGAAGGAACAGGAAAUAUUCUUAAAGGUAGAGUGAUGGGCAAGAAGGAAAGCCAGUACGUGAUUGGGAAAGAGGUGGGCCUGGUUCCUUAAAGGGGACGCCUUGAGAACCCAGAAAAGAAGAUGUUUUAAGAAACUUCUUUGUGACCUGGUCUCUGUUCUGCUUUUCAUGUCUUUCAAUGGGAGUUUGGAAGUGGAGAAAAUGAAGAGGAAGAGGGCACGGAAAACUUUCGAAAUGAUUAGAGAGCUCCUCGUGAAAUAGAAGGCAAGAAAGGAAAGAGGCUGUCUCCAUAAGAAGGAGAUGAACUGCCGGAGGGGGCCACUGACAGCCUGGACAGGGACGGCACCUCUCUCAGCUCCACUUAUCCACUCCUUGCUCCUAGAGAUUAGGGCUGAGUAAAAUGUGCCUCCUUCCUGGAGACCCCUAUGUGCAGAGCCCGGCCCAAUGCGAGCAUUGGAGGUGCCCAUAGCCCUCUUCUGCCAGUCGUCCUCGCAGCGCUAGCGGUGCCAGGUUGGUUGGGAGCUUGCCCUGCGCCCUGGCCGGGCAGCCAAGUUCACACCAGAUGACCUUUGCCUGCCUCUUUCACUUUUUCUUGCCUCCUUCAUCUUCCCUUCUUCACUUGCCCUCACGUUCUUCCUUGGACCCCCUCGUCAACGUUGUGUGGCUUGCUUUUAACUCUCCUGUGUCAGAGAGUGAAUUGGAUUGGGUUUUCUUUUUAGAAGCCCAACUUCUGCUUUCCGAAAAGGAGGGGGAAUUCUUAAAUCCACUUCCCUGUUUUCCGAAGGAAUCGCCAAACUUUCCCAAAGUGCUCCUGUUACUUAUUCCACAUGCUCAACAGCAAUAUAUGAAGGUUUGAUAGUCUACAUCACCAUCAACAUUUGAUAUUGUCAGUCUUUUUUAAUGCCAGCCAUUAUAGUGUAUGAAGUGAUAUCUCAUUGUGAUUUUAGUUUUUCAUAUCUCUAGUAACCAUUAGCCCAUUUUAAACCAGGGAUGCUUGUUUCAUAAUUGACUUCAAAUGUCUUUAUGUGUUCUGGAUACAAGUCCUUUCUCAGAUACUUUAUACAAAUAUUUUCACCCAGGUUGUGAAAUGCCCUUGAAAACAAAACCAAAAUAGCUUUAUUAAGAUACGAUGGACCCACAAUUAACAGAACAUAUUUAAAAUGAACAAUUUAAAGUGAUGAAUUUUGACACACACCUGUGAAAACAUCUCUAAAAUAAAAAAUGAACAUAUCCACUCCUCCUACCCCCAUUUCCUCAUGUAAAGUUAAUUCCUUCCUCUUCCUUUCAUUAGGCAGUGUUGUCAGUUCCCCAGCAAACACUAAUCUGCUGUCACAAUAAAUUAUUUUUGUUUUCUAGAAUUUUAAACAAAUGAAGUCAUGCAGUAACACCAUCUUCUUUCAUUCAACAUAACUUUUGAGAGAUUCAUUCAGCCUUGUGUUUGAUCCCCAGCACCAAAAAAAAAAAAAUAUCAUUUUAUUGUAUGCGUCAAUAACGUAUUAGCUUUACAUGCUGAAGCCUUUCAUUGUGUGGAUGUAUCAAAUAAAUGUUGAUGUAUCUCUCCACUGUUUGUGGACAGUGGAAUUGUUUCCAGUGUUUAACUAUUACAAAUAAAGGUGCCAUGAACAUCUUGGUAAAAUCUUGGCACACAUAUUUGCUUUCAUUUACUUUGUAUAGCAUUUGGGUAACUGUCCAGUGAAAUAGUUGGAAUUAUAUGGUAGAUGUGUUCACCUUUUUAAAAAACUGCUGCUCAAAGUUUGACCAUUUUAUAUUACCACCAGAAGUGUAUGAGAAUUUGAAUUGUUCUAUAUCCUUGUGAACACUUGAUAUGACCGAUUUUUAAAAUUUUAGCAAGUUGAAUAGGCACAUAGUGGUAUUUCAUUGUGAUUUUAAGCAACUUUCUCUAUUGAACAAUGAUGCUGCAUCUUUUCAUGUACUUAGUAACUAUUUCUACAUCUUUGGUGAAGUGUUCAAAAUUUACCCUCUUCACUGGGUCUAAGUUUUUUUUUUUUUUUUUUUUAAGCUUUAUGUUUUCAUUUAGACACAUGGUGCAUUUUAUGGAUUUUUGUUUGGUUGGUUUUUGAGAUUGGAUUUUACUGUGUUAUCCAGGCUGAUCUCAAACUCAUGGGCUAAGCAUUCCUCUGCCUCCACCUUCCAAGUAGUUAGGAUUACAGGCAUGUGCCACUGCACCUUGCAAAGGUACAUUUAAAAUGAGUUUUUGUAUAUUGUGUUGGUAUGGAUUAAAGUUCAUAUUUUGGUAUUGGGAACUCCAAUUUUUCAGCACUAAUUAUUGUAUAGACUAUACUUAGCCACUGAAAUUUGUAAUUGUACUUUGAAAAGAAAUCAAGUGACCACAUGUUGUUUUGUUUGGGUAUACUGGGGAUUAAACCCAGAGGUGCUCUUCUGAGCUACAUCCCCAACCCCUUUUAUUUUUUGAGACAGGGUCCUGGUAAGUUUCUGAGGCUGGCCUCAAACUUGUGAUCCUCCUACCUCAGCCUCCCUAGUACCUGGUUACCACAUUCAGCACCAGAUUGUCUUUAUGUGGUUUUAUGUUUUGAAGUCAAGUAGUAUGAGGCCUGCAAUUUUCUUCUUUUAAAAUUGUAUUAACUAUUUUAAAGCCUUUGCAUCCCCAUAUAGACUUAUGCUUAUAAAACUUAAAAAAAAAUGAAAUUUUGACCAGGAUCUAUAAGUCAAUUUGGGGAGAAUUGACAAUUCAGUAAUUGUCUUUAGUUCAAUGAACAUGUUAUUUCUCUCCAUUUCAGUGUUUUCUUUUCUCUUUUUUCAGGUUGUGGGAACCACACCCAGGGCCUCUGGCAUGCUAGGCAACUGAGCCAUAUUCCCAGUGCUCUAAUACUCUUAAUACCUUUUUUUUCCUUUUCUUUUCUUUAAGGAUAUAUUGAAUCCCAGUGACUUGGGAGGCUGAGACAGGAGGAUCACAAGUUCAAGGCUGACCUCAGCAACUUAGUGAGGCUCUAAGCCUGAAACCCAUUCUCAAAAUAAAAAAUGAAAAAUGGCUGGAGACAUAGCUUAAUGGUGAAAUGCCACCGGGACCAAUCCCUAGUUUAAAAAACAAAACCUAGCAUUUUUUAACUUAAUUAUGUCUUCUACAAGUAAAAAAUAUUUUACUUUCUUCA
Long non-coding RNA from Marmota monax (woodchuck), 3338 nucleotides. RefSeq lists it as uncharacterized. NCBI's taxonomy places the organism in Eukaryota, Metazoa, Chordata, Mammalia, Rodentia, Sciuridae. The transcript has 2 exons. The record is from RefSeq and is a predicted model, not a curated record.